UACGUAGGGGGCUAGCGUUGUCCGGAUUUAUUGGGCGUAAAGAGCGUGUAGGCGGCCAUGUAGGUCCGGUGUGAAAACUCGAGGCUUAACCUCGAGAUGUCAUCGGAAACCAUUUGGCUAGAGUCCGGAAGAGGAGAGUGGAAUUCCUGGUGUAGCGGUGAAAUGCGCAGAUAUCAGGAGGAACACCGAUUGCGAAGGCAGCUCGCUGGGACGUUACUGACGCUGAGACGCGAAAGCGUGGGGAGCAAACAGG
Molecule: ribosomal RNA, 253 nt
Filed under: uncultured bacterium
Lineage: Bacteria
Description: partial 16S ribosomal RNA
Rfam family: Bacterial small subunit ribosomal RNA
Source: RNAcentral